Molecule: ribosomal RNA, 484 nt
Filed under: uncultured bacterium
Lineage: Bacteria
Description: partial 16S ribosomal RNA
Rfam family: Bacterial small subunit ribosomal RNA
Source: RNAcentral
AUUGAACGCUGGCGGCAGGCCUAACACAUGCAAGUCGAGCGGAUGAAGGGAGCUUGCUCCUGGAUUCAGCGGCGGACGGGUGAGUAAUGCCUAGGAAUCUGCCUGGUAGUGGGGGAUAACGUCCGGAAACGGGCGCUAAUACCGCAUACGUCCUGAGGGAGAAAGUGGGGGAUCUUCGUACCUCACGCUAUCAGAUGAGCCUAGGUCGGAUUAGCUAGUUGGUGGGGUAAAGGCCUACCAAGGCGACGAUCCGUAACUGGUCUGAGAGGAUGAUCAGUCACACUGGAACUGAGACACGGUCCAGACUCCUACGGGAGGAAGCAGUGGGGAAUAUUGGACAAUGGGCGAAAGCCUGAUCCAGCCAUGCCGCGUGUGUGAAGAAGGUCUUCGGAUUGUAAAGCACUUUAAGUUGGGAGGAAGGGCAGUAAGUUAAUACCUUGCUGUUUUGACGUUACCAACAGAAUAAGCACCGGCUAACUUCGUG